RNAcentral lists this ribosomal RNA (497 nucleotides) under uncultured bacterium. Its description in RNAcentral is "partial 16S ribosomal RNA". It matches the Rfam family "Bacterial small subunit ribosomal RNA", at positions 28 to 507 of the family's 1533-position model. The record is from RNAcentral.
GAUGAACGCUGGCGGCGUGCCUAAUACAUGCAAGUCGAGCGAACAGAUGAGGAGCUUGCUCCUCUGACGUUAGCGGCGGACGGGUGAGUAACACGUGGAUAACCUACCUAUAAGACUGGGAUAACUUCGGGAAACCGGAGCUAAUACCGGAUAAUAUAUUGAACCGCAUGGUUCAAUAGUGAAAGACGGUUUUGCUGUCACUUAUAGAUGGAUCCGCGCCGCAUUAGCUAGUUGGUACGGUAACGGCUUACCAAGGCGACGAUGCGUAGCCGACCUGAGAGGGUGAUCGGCCACACUGGAACUGGGACACGGUCCAGACUCCUACGGGAGGCAGCAGUAGGGAAUCUUCCGCAAUGGGCGAAAGCCUGACGGAGCAACGCCGCGUGAGUGAUGAAGGUCUUCGGAUCGUAAAACUCUGUUAUUAGGGAAGAACAAAUGUGUAAGUAACUAUGCACGUCUUGACGGUACCUAAUCAGAAAGCCACGGCUAACUACGUG